RNAcentral lists this ribosomal RNA (253 nucleotides) under uncultured bacterium. Its description in RNAcentral is "partial 16S ribosomal RNA". It matches the Rfam family "Bacterial small subunit ribosomal RNA", at positions 524 to 776 of the family's 1533-position model. The record is from RNAcentral.
UACGGAGGGAGCUAGCGUUGUUCGGAAUUACUGGGCGUAAAGCGCGCGUAGGCGGCUUUGUAAGUUAGAGGUGAAAGCCCGGGGCUCAACCCCGGAAUUGCCUUUAAGACUGCAUCGCUUGAAUCCGGGAGAGGUGAGUGGAAUUCCGAGUGUAGAGGUGAAAUUCGUAGAUAUUCGGAAGAACACCAGUGGCGAAGGCGGCUCACUGGUCCGGUACUGACGCUGAGGUGCGAAAGCGUGGGGAGCAAACAGG